ACGUAUGGUGCAAGCGUUAUCCGGAUUUACUGGGUGUAAAGGGAGCGCAGGCGGUGCGGCAAGUCUGAUGUGAAAGCCCGGGGCUCAACCCCGGUACUGCAUUGGAAACUGUCGUACUAGAGUGUCGGAGGGGUAAGCGGAAUUCCUAGUGUAGCGGUGAAAUGCGUAGAUAUUAGGGGGAACACCAGUGGCGAAGGCGGCUUACUGGACGAUAACUGACGCUGAGGCUCGAAAGCGUGGGGAGCAAACAG
This 251-nucleotide ribosomal RNA is filed under the name uncultured bacterium. RNAcentral describes it as "partial 16S ribosomal RNA". It matches the Rfam family "Bacterial small subunit ribosomal RNA", at positions 525 to 775 of the family's 1533-position model. The record is from RNAcentral.